RNAcentral lists this ribosomal RNA (477 nucleotides) under uncultured bacterium. Its description in RNAcentral is "bacterial SSU rRNA". It matches the Rfam family "Bacterial small subunit ribosomal RNA", at positions 33 to 507 of the family's 1533-position model. The record is from RNAcentral.
GACGACGCUGGCGGCGUGCUUAACACAUGCAAGUCGAACGGUAAGGCCCUUCGGGGUACACGAGUGGCGAACGGGUGAGUAACGCGUGAGUAACCUGCCCUUCACUCUGGGAUAACAGUUGGAAACGGCUGCUAAUACCGGAUAUUCAGCUCCUGUCGCAUGGUGGGGGUUGGAAAGUUUUGGUGGUGGAGGAUGGGCUCGCGUCCUAUCAGCUUGUUGGUGGGGUGAUGGCCUACCAAGGCGUCGACGGGUAGCCGGCCUGAGAGGGCGACCGGCCACAUUGGGACUGAGAUACGGCCCAAACUCCUACGGGAGGCAGCAGUGAGGAAUAUUGGUCAAUGGGCGCAAGCCUGAACCAGCCAUCCCGCGUGAAGGAAGAAUGCGCUACGCGUUGUAAACUUCUUUUCCAGGGGGAGAAUAAUCCUGUCGUGACAGGACUUGACGGUACUCUGGGAAUAAGCAUCGGCUAACUCCGUG